AAGACGAUCUCGAUAGUUUGGCCUACCUAAAGGCAGUCAUUAAAGAGACACUCCGGCUCCAUAUGCCUGGCCCCCUCCUCGUACCCCACCUCUCCAUGGCCGACUGUAACAUAAAGGGCUACACAAUACCAUCAGGAAUACGUGUUAUCAUCAACAGUUGGGCUCUUGCAAGGGACCCCAAUAGUUGGGAGCAUGCAGAUGAGUUCAUGCCUGAGCGCUUUAUGGAAUAUGGUAGUGCCGCAACUAUGGACUAUAAGGGAAAUGACUUCCUCUACUUGCCAUUUGGCACUGGGCGAAGGAUUUGCCCAGGUAUCAACUUUGCGAUUGCGACCAUUGAAAUCAUGCUAGCGAAUCUCAUGUACCACUUCAACUGGAAGCUACCAGUAGAGCUGAUGGAAGGUGGCAUCAAUAUGACUGAAUUAUUUGGGAUGACAGUGCAUCGGAAGGAGAAGCUCCUCCUUGUUCCCGUAGUGCCACAAGAUUAAUACAUUGGUCCAUUACAUUGUGUGUGCGUAGCAGAUUGAGUGCCUACCAUAAUAGUGCCGUGGAUGUGGCUUUUUGACUUCUUGUUGAGCACAAGUGUAAUCAAUAAUUAAGGAAAACAUUGCAAUAAAUUUGUAAACAUAUUCUUGACUAGCAAUUUGCACCACUACUUGAAUGCUCAUCCAUAGUGUUCUUCUUAGCAAUGAUCAACACUUCAUUGCACAACUUGUUUUAGUCAGAUAGAGACACCUUUCUUGGUUGCUCGAGUCACAAUCAUAGUGUCUUUGAUGCGGAUCUAUUUUACUCCACCAAUGUAACUGCCACUGAUAUCAUCAAGCUUGUAUACUAACAAUAGAUUCAGCGUUAUAUGAGGUAUAUGCCUCACAUCAUCAAGCACCACGCCACAACAUGUGUUUGUUUCAAUAGUACCCUUGUCGACAUUUUUUGACAACCCAAAGUUUUAGUACUGGUGUAUGAUGUGAAGUUCUCUCGUUGUAAUGUGAUGUGGAAGGACGCACACAAUAGUCUAGCUCAUGGCAUCAUCACAAAGAACUAUAUAUCAUUAUUCUUCUCCUGUGAUUAAGUAGUCCACACAUUGUGUACAUGUUUGAUCUGUUUUCUUUGUAACUUUUAUCCUUCCAGGCUCUUUUUAUAUUUCUUUGACUCGCUCUUUUGUGUCCCAGCUUGCCGCAUUGAAAGUAAGUAAACUUCUAUUUGUAUUAACUUGAUAUACCCAAUAUUAAUCUAUGCUGUCUGGCGUCAUGGUGGCGUUGAUGGCAGGCGUCGCAAGGUCAUUACAUUGAUUUCUCCUAAAGAUGGGUAUCCGAAAGACGAUGGCAGCGAAGACUUCUGGAGCGUGUAUGCUGGUACGCGCUAAGGGUCUGCCAAACCGGUUGUGCCACUUGUUCGCUACCGGGCGACUUGUCGUUGGGGCAUCUGGCUUUAGAUGUUGGGCUUUGGUGCGAUGUUUGUUUUGUAUUCGGUUCAGACAUUCGGCACCCCUUCAUCAAGGGGAUUGGAGUAGCGACAGGUGUUGUCAAGAUGGUGGCUUCAGGCUUACUGAUGUAUUACUUUGUAAGAUCUAUGUGAAUAAUUAAUAAAAUGGGUGCAUGCAUCACCCAGAUGCAGAGACAGGGGUAUAUCCUCCCUAAAAAAACUCGUAAAACGUCGAAUCGACAUAGAUGAAGAUGGCGAGGAUGAGCAGGCAGCUGCAGUACUUCCAUGAGUACCAGGGAAAGUUGUGCGCUCAUGUGGGCGCGUCCCAAGCCAUGUAGAUUGUGAGCAGGGCAAUGGUGCUCAUUAGUUAUCACCCUCAGUGGCAACGACUUCGUCAACAACUACUACCUCAUCCCCUUCUUCAUCGGAAUUUUUUUCAAGUGCGAACUUUUUGAAAAUUCUGAAUACUUUUGUUAAAUAUAGACAUUUUUUAAAAAUAUAAUAAAUUUUGAAAAGCAAACACUAUUUGAAACAUAAUUUUUUUUAAAAAAUGGGAACAAAUAUCUAAACUUGAACAAAAUAUUUAAAUGAUUAAACAAUGUAAAAAAAUAUUUGCACAGUUUUACAAAAUGUAAAAUGUGUAUUUGGCAAAAUGUUACUUUGUCUCAAAAAAAAUUGGCAAAAUAUUACCGUGUCACAUUUUUCAAUUUUUUUUUGAAUUUUCGUAAAUUAUUUUAAAAUAAAUAUUCGGUAUUUUAAAAUUGUUCCCAUUUUUUAAACAAAUGUUUCAAAAGCCCUGUUCAAGAAUUCAUCCGAUUAACCAGUUAACUUGCCGAUUAAUCCCUACUCGUAGGGUCAUCGAGUAGCCGAUUAACUAAUUAAUCGCCCAAGUAAUUGAUUAAAUGGCCGAUUAACUUGCCGAUUAGCCUAUUAAUCCCCUACUCGUCAGCCAACCGAGCAGCUACCAGUUAACGAUUUCCUCAACAAUGUUCAAAAGUUUAAAAAAUGUUUUCAUAUAUGAACACUCCUUUUGUUCUUAUAUAGGACACGCGAGAUGUAAUCACUAGUAGCCAUCAGGAUGAUUCGGUAGGUGCGGGCAUUGUGUGUUCGAGGCCUCGAGUCGGAGUACUAUCAAGCUCACUGUCUACUUCAACUAUUUUUUUGUCGCUCCUAAUAGAAGACAAGUGGGCUUAUGUAGUUUUAAAAAAAUUAUUCUCAUGACAAAAAAUAAUAUCAGUACGAAAAUGUAAAACAGACAAAAGGAAAAGAAAAAAAAGAAAAUCAAAAAAUAGCAAGCCAGAGCGACGGAGUUAAUGGGCCGGCCUGAUUCGUCCUAAUGUCAGCCAGCCAGUCAACAAUCCUCGCCACGUUAGCAAAUAUCAGCUAAAGCCCUCAUGGUUCAAAAUAGACCGAAAUCAAAGAGUUCGGUUUGCUAAUUUUCGGGAUUACAAGUUCAGGAUUCAAUUUAGCUUUCAUCUUCAAGUUAAAAAUUUGUUUUGGGCUUUUUACUUCUCCCUCGGCUCCCGCCAGUUCUCUCUCCCCGACUACGUCCGCUACUUCAUCUCCGAGUACAAGGAAAUCCUCGUGGUAAGAGCACGUGUACUCUCCAACUGUGCUCUCUUGGUUUCUUUUUACUCUGCGUAUAAGCUUUGUUACUGAAGCUGCUUAUAUGUGGAGUAAAAGAAAACAGAGAAUACUAAAUCAUCAGUUUAUGCGGAGUAAAAACAAGCACUAGAUGACACGUAUGCUGGAAUGUAUGUAGAGGUCGUACGAUAUGGGUGCGCGGCUGAUGACAGGGACGGGUCCAGUGGGUUGCGCGCCGGCGCAGCUCGCCUGGAGCCGUGGAGGAGGGGUGCGACGCCGACCUGAUGCUCGCCGCGGAGCUAUUCAGCCCGCCGCUGUCCCGGCCUCCCGGGUCCCGGAGGAGCUCAACACGCGAUACGGCUGCCGAACUUUCAUUGCCGCCAACACCUUCCGCAUCCAUUUCGACUUCGUCAGCGACCCGACGGCAUACGGGUUCCGGACGGCCAAGGAGGCGUGCUGUGGGCAGGGGCCCCAUGACGGGAUUGGGUUGUGCACCGCGCUAUCCAACGUCUGGACCGACAGGGAUCAUUACGUGUUCUGGGACGCCUACCACCCCACGGAGCGCGCCAACCGGAUCAUUGUCAGCCAGUUCAUGACCGGCUUCUAUGGCGCGCGUCCAGUUCCGUCUACGGCGUGCGGCGGCCAGUUUUUUUCCGUGUCCCCGCACCGCUCGUUCACGGCUCUGUGUAAGGGUUCAUGUACGUGUGUGUGCCUCGUACGUGGUUUUACUCAGUUUUCCAUGACGCGCGUCCAAUUCCGUCCGCGACGGGCGUCAGCCAGUUUUUUCCCAUGUACACAUACAACCCGUCGUUAGCCCGCUCAACCUCAGCACUACCCUCCACAUUGACGCCAGCCCAUGGUUUUGGGUACCGGGCGGUAAAUUUGGUUACUGCCCGGUAACCGCGUUUUCCGCUCCCCCACGAUAAUUGAGUAUACCGAGCAGAAAAUUUCAAACUUUUUGAAUUUAAACUCCUGACACUUUGUUAAAUAAGAUACAUUGUUAUCUAAACAACAAACAUACUUGUGGCCUAUUGGUAAGGGUGUUCAGCCAGCAACUUGGAGUCGUGUGUUCGUAGAUAGACAACCGCACUUUUUCCUUUUUGAUUUUUGAAGAAUGCACGGCACACUGUAUGUGGUAAUUUCUAAAAAAAAUAUGAGCGUCCCAGAGUCGAACUCGCUGCCUGCAUGUGCGCGGUAGUGGAGCAGCCGUGUUACCACUGCGCCACUACAAGCGCAGCAAUUAUUUCGUGUUCAAAACUUAUAUAUUCUGGCCUUAAAAAUUUUUGAAUUCAAAUUUUAAUUUUAAAUUCCGCUUGAGUUUUUUUGGAAUUUCGUGGCUACCGUGGUAACCGAGUUUACCGCCCCCACUCGAGAAAAAUGUUCCAUUCGGAAUCCAAAACCUUGCGCCGGCCUCAUAGACUGAUACACUCCACUUACUACCUAGCUACGUAUAAAGUGGCCGUUUGUGUUUAAUACAAUUAUUGAAAACUUAAACCUGAGAGAAUGCUUUUGUUGGGCUGCCCUUCUGCUACACGAAUGCAGGACGAAGGGAGACAAACUCGAGCACAGGAGUAUUUACGACGACAUACACCCGGCGUAGAACGUCGUUCUUUCUUCUUUAUAUUCGACUCACGAACAUAGAAUAUAUGGAGACUCACUCCACCUCACGGUGAGCGCACAGACACACUAGAAACAUCUUUCUCCUAUAGCGUCGUUCUUUCUUCUCUAUAUUUACAUGUGGACUCUCGGCUACACACAACGAGCACGAGAACAACUCUUAAAUAUAGCACCCACACACAAAGGGCCGUCCGCUAUGUCUAUAAAAACCUAAAAUCUUAAAAAUACGCGCUCGCUAUUACGUCGAACCAAGCGGCCACGCCUCGACUGCUCGUUCGGUGCGAAUCGUGCGCCCAUGAGAGCCAUGUGCUUUUUGUCGAUUUCGUCUGUCCCUCUCAUUUUCUUCCCAUCCCCACACCAUUCCACCGCCGCCGCUCUCCCUUUAUCCCAUCCUCCACGAAUCCAAUCUAUGCCUCCGUCACAGCAGCCUCAACCACAACCACGGUGUUGCCGGAUAGCGGCAGCGAUGACAGCUCCGCCCCGGCGCGGUUCGAGCUGCAGGAGAACCCCUUUUUCUGCUGGACACCUGCGCCGCCAUGCAUGAUCCCGGACGGAUCUGAGGAGCUCCACGCUGGAUCCGCCCGUCCCACGUCUUCAUGUGGAGCUCCGGCCCCCAGGGCGCCUUCACGACACCGGCAAGCCCUACGCCGCCUCCCCUCGCGCCCCUCAAAUCGGACGCCAUCUGGAGCAUGUGCACCACCUAUGGAGGAGGGGUAAGGGAGUAGGGGCUGCCGUGAGGUCUGGGCGUGGUUGCAACGGCUGGGGGAGGAGGAAGCACGGGCAUCGAUCUAGCCGAAGCAACCGGAGGAGAAGGAAGCAGGGGAAGGGAGCUUGUCCUCGAUGCAGCAAUACGAAGACGACAGUGGCUAGGAAAUGGAGUUCUUCGCUAACCAAAUCGCGGAAGACCGUACACACUCCGGCCUCCUCCAAUCUCUCCUUCCUGUAAUCCCCAUCUCCGUAGGUGAUGUUAUCCUGAAGCUAAAUACACUCGCAUGGCUUGGGAUUAGGAAAAAUGCUCAUAUGUGAUACUUCUAGCUUUAUAGCUCAUUGCUUGUUAAUUGAUUGCUAGCUUCUGGUCAUAUUCGAGUAGAAUUGCGUAGCAGCACAUGCUGAGUUCUAGGCACUUGAUAUCAAACAACAAUCUAUGAUUUGAUUUAGGGGCGAACAAGCAAUACUGCACACCCAUAUCUACGCAGACGGUUGAGGGAGCAGUGGCCUGGACAGCUGUCGAAGUUGCACACACACGGCAGCAUAGUCGCACAAGAACAGCCACAGAGUUGCACACUUCGGUCGACAUAGUUGCUCAUGCACGAGGUUACGAUAGUUGCACACGCCCGACGGAGUAGUUGCUCAUGACGACUGUGGAAUUGCACACCUCUAGUCGGUAUAGUUGCUCACACACGACUACGAAACUUGCACACAUGCGUCGGCAAAGUUGUUGUGUGCACGGCGGGGGGAGUUGCACAUUCUCAUUAGCAUAAUCACACGCAUAGCCACAAAGUUGUAGGUUCCCAUCGAAAAGUUGCUCCCGAACAAGGCUGCGGAAGUUGUACACGUCUGAUUGCGGAUUGCACACUAUCGUCCACAUAGUUGCACACGCACGGGUGUAAAGUUGCACACCUUUGUCGGCAUAGUCGCCCACACAAGGCUGUGGAGAUGCACACUCUCGUCAGCAUAGUCUUGCAUGCACGACCGCGGAGUUGCACUCUCGUCGGUAUAGUUGAUCACGCACGGGAUAGGAGAAUUGCAUAUCGUUUGUUAGUUGGUUGGCACGGACAACAGAUGAAGUUGCACAUCGUUGGUUAGUCAGUUGACACGGUCAACAAAUGAAGGUGCACAUCUCACUGCCAAGAAUAAUUAGGAGUGAUGAAAAAUGCACAUCCACGCAGUAAGAGGGUAGUUGCACAUCGACUGCAAGGCAUUUGGCGGGCAGAAGAUGGAAUUGCACAACGACUACAAGGCAUUUGGCGGGCAGAAGACGGAGUAGCACAUCGGCUGCUAGGUAGGUGGAGGGGGAGUAGAUAAAGUUGCACAUCGUUUGUUAAUCAGUUGGCGCGUACAGCAAAUAAAGUUGCACAUCUCACUGACAUGGAUAAUUUGGGAGGUGAACAAUGCACAUCCACAAGGUAGGGUAAAAGUUGCACAUCAACUACUAGGCAGUUGGCCAAGCAGUACAUGAAGUUGCACAUCGUUUGAUAGGCAAGUGGAUGGGACAACAAAUGAAGUUGCUCAUCUGGUGACGUUGGUUCAUGUAGCACUAAAAUUACACCCAUGCAAAAUUAUAGUUGGUUGUGGUAACACCAAAGUUAUUUAAAAAAAGUUGUAUCCCAUGGUAUAAAAUUUGCACCAUGUAGUAAAAUCAGUUGGCAGUGAAAAAAGUUCAUGGAAACAUAUAUAAAUGGGGUCUAGUUUUAAAGAUCUUGUCACGAGGGUUCCAACAAUGUAAACGAAUAUUCAUUUCGACAUGUAGUUCAAAAGUUAUAGCUUUUUGAAUUUUUUGAAAUGCAAUUAAUUGUCUUUUUGCUUUACUACUGCAGAGCAUAUGUAAAAGAAGUGGGGCCAGCCUGAAGUAGAGAAAAGAAGGCACGUGCACUCGGUGUGCUUUUGAUUUUUGUCUUAAAUGGGAACCAGGUGGACAGACAUAUGAUGUGCGGACUUUCCUUAUCAAAACAUGGGACACUAAUUUUCCUCAUACGGCCGGCUGCCGAGGAGCGCUAGUGAGCACACGGCUGCUCGCUAGACGCAUCCCUAUAAAUAACUACCACUUUUUUAUUUUUUUAAAAACAACCAUAAAAGUGGUUCGCUGUUUCAAAAAAAAACCAAAUGACUAUUUGAUUUAGAAUUUAUCCAAUUUAUGACAGGUUGUACCCACUCCUAAGAAAACCGUUUGUUGACUGUUUGUUUGACCAUUAACUUACAUGUGGGUCCCACAUGUAAGCGCACUCUCUCUAUUCCUUAUCUUUCUUCCCUCCUUCUUCUUCCCUGACCUCUCUCCCGAGCCAUCAUAGCCGCCGCAACCAGCACCACGGCCACCGCCGACAGGGCCGGCCACCACCACGCGAUGGGGAGAGCUGCCGCCAGGGCCGGCCAUCACCACGCGAUGGGGAGCGCCGUCGCCAGGGCUGGCCACCACCACGGCCGGCGCAGCCACGGUCACUAUUGCUAGGGCCGCCCACCACCCUGCCAUGGGAAGCGCCGCCGCCAAGGCCGGCCACCACCACACCUAGCGAGCCACCGCCGCCUCCGCCUGGGCCACCCACCACCAUGCCAUGGACACGGAGAAGAUGGAAGGAGGGCGUCCAUGGCAGCACCCACGGGAGGACAGUUUGGGUGGUGGGGAUUUGCAGCGGAUAGGAGGAGGAGCUCCACGCUAUGGGGAGGCCCGUGCCGUCGCCUGCGUAGCUCCUCGUCCCUCGACGCCCGGACCGGACACCACCAGCUGGAGCAGCCGUCGACCACAGCUAGCUUGGCCAGGAGCUCGACCACGGGCGGGGAGCAGCCAUGGAGCAUGGGCGGUUCUAGCCCGCCGCCGCCGCUGGUUCCUGCCGGCCACGACUGUCUUAGCCACGCCAGAGCGACGCCGGGGGACCAGGAAAAGGUCCCUUCGUCGGCUCCGGUGACGAGCUCGCCGGCGAGGACCCGAUUUCUUUAGGGACCCGAUUGCUUUGUAUGUAUAUUUUCAGGGACCUGGUUGCUUUUAGUUUUUACUAUAGGGACCAGAUUGCAUUUCGAAAAAUAUUUGGGCCCAACCUUCCAUAACCUGUCAAUGGUCAACCUAACGGUCAACCUGACGAGUGGACCCAAGUUGUCAUAAUAACGUUUGAAGUUAAUCAAAAGAGUCAUCAGUGUGACAUGGUAGUUUUUUGGAACAGCGAACCACUUUUGUGGUAGUUUUUAAAAAAAUUAAAAAAGUGGUAUUUUUCGUAGACAUAGCCUGUAAUGUGGUAGUUUUUUGCUAUAUACUCCCGUCUGCCACACUCGACCACGCACGCAAAUAGCCAGGUAAACAAAUCAUCCCUGGUUUUGUGCCACUACCACCACGUACUAACUAUGAGCAUCUUAACCCCCCCCCCCAACAGGCCCUUUUUUAUCGUUGGCUCGAAAAAAUCGGCCCAGAUGCGCCCCUAGAAGCCCAAAUUUCUCCUGUUAGGGCCGAAAUUGGCGCCGGCAGACCAAGGCCGAACCCAUCACGCUUUAGGGCAUCCGGGGCGCCGGAGGAAACAAAUUUGGCGUGAAAACAAAAUCGUACCUCGUGGACCCGCCAAGUCAGGGGCGACGCCGAGAACCUUCGUCGUCCUCGUCGCCUAGGUUCCCGCGGGAAUCAAUGCCAAGGCUGACGCCGGUCAGCGUUCCACUAAUUCACGGGUGGCGCAGUGAAUGUGCGCAGCCGCACGUCCCGCCGUUCCCGCCAUGUGUCCACACUGUUGUUGUCCGCUCGCCACCCUCUCGCCGUUGGCCGCACACUUGCCUCGCCACAGCCUCUCUCUCUCUCGCCGCCGAUGCCCCUCUCCCCUUCGCCACCGAUGCCCUCUCUCUCCCCGUCUCAAGCCCGCGGCCGAUGGCGGUGAGGUUCCCCGGUGACGGAGCGGCGGCCAACGGCUUCGGACCCCGCCAUCUACACGAGUGGGAGGCGCUCCUCCUCUAAAAGGCUAACUACCCGGCGCUGCUAGACAUGCGCGUGCUGGGCUCAUGGAGGCUCAGCGCCGACAGCGUCCCCGUGCCCUCGCCGCCCUCCGGCACUGAACAUCGUGCCGAGAUCGCGCGUAUUCGGGCGGCGCUGCCGGAGGAAGCGUGACAGCAACCGAGUAAGCCCUCGACAGCCAUGCGUUGUGGAUGGCGUACUUCUAGCACCGCCACACCGACCAGUGGUGGCAGUCCUCGGGCACACGCUUCACGUUGUCCUCGAGCGCAUCAGGGCAGCAACGCGCCGGCGCUGGAGUACCCGGCGCCAUCUUUCUCGCGCCGGAGCGGCAGCACGUGGCUGCCGCGGCGCAUGGCAGGGGCGUUGUCCUCUUCCUCCGGCUCCCACUCCUCCGGCACGACGACGCCGCUCGCCGUGGUCAAGGCCGAGCCCCAGGAGACGCCGGAGCGCUUGCACAGCCGGGGCGGCUCCUCGUCAUAAACAAGGGCCGCCGCCUACCUUCCCCUCCUCCUCACAGCCAUCUUCGCUUGGUCACGCCGAAGAAGGAGCUAGCGCCGCCACCCGUCGUCGUCAAGCAAGAGCAUGUCGACAUGGCCGACGACCUCGAAAUCAGCCUCAAAUGGGCGCGGGACGACUACGUCCGGGAGGAGAUGGAGCGCCAGCACCGCGCCCUCGAGGAGAUCGCUGCUAGGCGCCGCAGCUGCGAGGAGGGCGGUGUCAUCGUCCUCGAGGACAACGACGAGGAGGCGUCGGCGCCGACCAACCCUGUCGACCACGGCGACCCAGGACAGGGCUGCAGCAAGGACGGCGGCGGCGGCGUCGUGCAAGGACGACGACGAUGACGGCGGUGGCGGCGACAGCGACGGCGGCAAGUACACGGCCUUCUACAAGCUCAUCGGCAUGCAGUAGGCUCGGGGCGGUGAUGGCGGCGUACUUUCUCUAAGUUUUUUAGUUAUGUGUAUGUAUUAUUUUGUACAAAUAUCAAUGUAAACCACCUGAACUUUGUCCAAACUCGUUAAUUUUCUUCCAAAUCUAGUCGAAUUUGUAUUUGAAAAAAACGACUUCUUGGGCGAUCUUAGGGCGGCGACUGGGAAACCGAGGGGGGGGGGGCGACUAGAGAUGCUCUAACCCAUGCAUGCACUGCUAGCUAACUACAUGCACGUAUGACCCGGUCACCACAACUGGCCACUAACUCACGGCCGCCUAAUCAGCUAACAACUAAUGCAUGCGCCAACCCAUGAGGGACGGGGCUUGCCUGCUCCCGUCCCGUGCUCCCAUCGGUGCUCCCGAAACGUUAAACUCACAUCGAACGGCUGGGCCAAUUUCCCUUCCCCACGUCCUUUUUCUGGCGCAAAAAACAAGGAAACCACCACGUAUCCCGUAUUUUACUCUCCCGCACGUAAUACUCGCGACUGAUUCUAUAUGGAAAAGGCCCGCACAAAAAUCUGGAGGGAAAAUGACCACCAAUCUCACUUCUGCGCGCCAAAAAGCAGGGACGCCCAUUCCAUAAAACAGAGGUAUCUUAAAUCACAGGAAGAAGAAAAAUUGCAAUCGCAGCUGAUUGUGAUGAAUUAAUUUCAGGGAGAACAUCAACUGUGCAAACAUCAAACGGACUGGGGCUCUAUUGUCCCCUAUGGCUUCUUCUUCAAGCACGGACUAUGGGACCCAUCAACAGGACAAUGAAUCUGAAGGACGAAAAGUAAGAAAUCUGACUCAUAUUCUUCUUGAUCUCUUUUUUUUUUUUUUUUGAAGAGAGGCAAAAGAUUUGCCUCAUUUAUUAAAUAAGAGGAAUAGAGUUUAUGUUCGUGUUACAACACUGACAGCGCCGCAACACCAGAAAUAAAGGUGACCAACUACUCUCGCGUCAUCAAGUAUCCCAACUUUCUUGCACCCGCUGAUACCCAAAGCGUGGCCUCCUUCUUAAUGUUGGCGAGUAGAACCGUCGGCGGAGCACUCUUCUGACGGAACACUCGCGCAUUCCUCUCGUUCCAAAUGGUCCAGGCGACUAGCAUGGUGAGCGAGGCCAUCGCCUUCCUGUUGGGGAUAGAUGUGUCGGAGAGGCCCACCCACCACUCUUCGAUGUUGCCUGAGAGGUGCCAUGAGGAAGUAUCAAUGCUCACCAGUUGCAGCCAGUCCUUGACUAAUCCCCAUAGGCGGAUAGAGAAGCGGCAUUUGUAGAAAAGGUGGUCAACAGACUCUUGCUCCUGCUUGCAAAGUGUACAAAGGCCACAGUUUGGCCAUCCGCGCUUCUCCAAUCUGUCUGCCGUCCAAAUUCUGUUUUGAAUAGCCAGCCAAGCGAAGAACUUGACUUUGGGGGGAGCCCAAGCCCUCCACACAGUGUGCUCCAUAGGGGAUUUGAUUGUGCCACAGAAUUGCGCUUUGUAUGCCGACUCGGCCGUGUAUUGCCCGCUAGCGGUGUGCUUCCAUACAAUAUCAUCUUCGGCAUCCUCCUCGAGAUGGAAGCCACGAAGCGUUGUCCAGAGGGUGACAAACUGACGUAAGUGAUUCAGCGAAAAAGAGUCUGGGAUGCGUAUUCUCGAGACCCACGCAUCGUUGCUGAGAGCUUCGCGCACCUUCCAAUUUUUCCUCGUGGACGCCUCGUAAAUUAGUGGUGCAAUGUCCCUAGGCUUGCGGUCAUUCACCCAUGGCGCAUCCCAAAAAGGCGUCCUUGCUCCAUUUUCAACAAAGAUUGACGUGGAGGCAUAAAACAAGGAGUAGUCCAUCGUGUUGCACGGGUUUCCCAUACCCACCCAAAGCUUGGUGGGCUCUUUCCAUUCAAACCAUAACCAGCGCAAGCGAAGAGCCCGAGCAAAUUUCUCCGUGUUAAGUAUGCCAAGGCCACCAAGAUCCUUUGGCCGGCACACCGCAUCCCAAUUCACCUUGCAUUUUGCACCAGUGGUCUUGUCCGUGCCCUCCCAGAGAAAGGCUCUUUCGAGCUUGUUUAUGUUGUGUAGAGUGGACGUUGGCACAAUGAGUGGCGUGAUGGAGAAGACGAGCUGCGAAGACAGCACCGACUUCACAAGGGCACAUCGACCAAUGGCAGUGAUAUUUUGGCCAUCCCAAGUGGUCAACUUAGCGGCCGCUUUGUCCUCUAGGUACUGGUAGUCGACCUUUCUAAGCUUCCACACCGAGAGAGGAAGCCCCAAGUAUUUCAUUGGAAACGAAGCCCGUGACGCGGGAAGGGCCUGAAGUAUUUCUUGAUCUCUUUUCGUUGUUCCUGCCCUUCUUGUUGAACUGGUUGCUUUUCCCUGUUAACAAACAAAUCAACCAAUCAUGAUUGUAUAAGAUCUAUUCAAAUCUGAUUAAAACUACUGUACAACCAUGUCUGGGCAUAGCAGUUUUGCACAACUUAGUUUGUUAGAUGAUUCAUGUAAUUUCGACUGUACAAGUUAUAUACUAUGCUACUAGUUGCACACAGUAUUUUCAAACUAAGACUUACAUUUAACUUUAUGGUUGCAGGUACAAACAUUGACUCUAGUAGAGUUUCAAAACAUAACGAGGGGCUUGAAAGGCCAAAAGGUAUGAAGGUCAAGGAGAAGACUGCACGAGGAUCAGCAAGGCCUAUUGGUGGCUUGGAGAAAGCAAAAACAAAGAAGAAAAAGAAGAUAGAUGAUUCUUUCCAACUACAACCUGAAAUGCCUUUCACAAAUCAAAUGUUUGUGUAUAACCCAAUGUUAAUGGUAUAAGAACUCUACCCAUUUAACUUUCUCUUAUUUUCAAAAUUCAAUGACGCUAAGCUUUGCUAUUAAUCUUCUUAGGGUCAUUUGGGAGAAAAUAUUGAAAUGCCUUUCACAAAUCAGAUGUCUACACAUAACCCAAUGUUAAUGGUAUAAAAAGUCUACACAUAUACCUUUCUCUCAUUUUCAAACUACAAUGAUGCUAAGCUUUGCUAUUAAUCUUCUUAGGGUCAUUUGGGAGAAAGUAUUAUACCAGGAUCAGCAAGAUCCGUUGGUGGCUCGGAGAAAGCAAAAACGAAGAAGAAAAAGAAGACAGCCAAUUUUUUACAACUACGACCUGAAAUGCCUUCUGCAAACCAAAUGCAUGUGUAUCUACCACAGUACAACCAAACCCAAAUGGUAAAAGAAGUCUUCUUUUUAACUUCUUUUCAUUUUCAAUCCUCUGCGACCUAAGCUUUGCUAUUUACUUGCAUAGGGUCAUAUGGGAGCUCCGGCCAAUCUUGUACACCCCUAUUUAGCACAUUACAACUCAAGUCUGCGACAAUCCAUUGGUACCUCUACCCCUACGAUGAUGUCAGGACAAAAUCUAUCAUUUCCCAACAACAGACUCCUACAAGUGGUACCUCUACCCCUAUGAUGAUGCCAGGACAGAAUAUAUCACUCCUGCAACAACAGACUCCUAUGAGUGGUACCUCUACCCCUUUGAUGAUGCCAGGAGAGAACCUAUCAUUCCUCCAACAACAGACUCCUACGAGUGGUACUUCUACCCCUGUGAUGAUGCCAGGACAGAAUCUACUAUUCUUCCAUCAACAGAAGCCGGCUUAAUUGAUGUUACAGAUUUUUAUCUCAUGUAUUUGCUUGCAAUUCUAUUAGAACCUAUGAGUAUACGACCAUGCUUGCAAUUCUUACUUGUUCAUGUGACUGUCGAUGGAAUGCAACAAAUUCUUUCUACCUUUCAUGCACUGUAAAUAUUGUCAACUCGUUCACCGGUGUACUCCAUCUAAAGACGUGUCGCAAAACAAUGAUAACACCCAACUUCUGUAAAAUCGAUAACAGUUUUGUGAUUUCUAGUAUGCCUACUGCUAAACAAGCAAUAUGAACUAUGUUUUUGUAAGAAUACUUUGCAUCAGGUACAAACUGUAGUACAACCAACAUCCAACGGCAUAGAUUUUAUAUCUAACCUCACAAGCAGAACUGUAGUUAAUCACUGUGACAACGCCGGCGUUGACAUUGUUGACCCACGUCUUCUGGCCUCAUGCUGUCUGUAAAUAUCACCAACAUCAGCUAAUUAAAAUUCAGUUCAUUCAACCAGUAGAGAACAUGCUAAAAAUUUUGUGCUAGACAAUCCCAUCAGAGAGGGUCACUCACCGAGCAUGGCGACCUCGGCGGGCGUGAGCAGAGUUCUCACCAAUACUUAAUGAAAGAGAUCCUUAUAGUACUAGCAUACGCCUGCUCAAAUAGUAUCAUACAAAUGAAUGAGUUGCAGUUGAUACAUAUCCAGACUCAAACAUGAGGCUAGCAUUAGUACAGACCAAACAGUUUCAUUAGUACGUCUCACAAAACUACGGUCAACUCAAGGCCUGUGAGAUCUGCCGUCUUUCAGCUGUAGAAUAGUUGACCGCCUCAAUUUAGUGAUCAGUAGCACGGCGUCCGCGUCCGCCUCUGCUGCUACUUAGCUUCUACUGGUGCUAUACUAGCAGGGAACACGCGCGAAGGCGCUGCGAGGAAGCCAAGUCGCCGCCGGCGACAGCUGCCACGGUGGCCACGGUCUAGGCGUCGACGGCCGCCGCGACCGUUGCCUCGUCGGUGAUGGACAGGCGGCGCCGCCUCAAUUUGGUCUGAGAAUAAAUCCAAUUAGCAGACAACAAAUUAGAAGAAGGAAGAAACAAACUGGAUUGAACAGGGAGGGGUCAAGGUCAGCAAGCAGGAGGAGCAAAACCAGGAGGCGGAGGUGGUCUUGAGAUUGGAGAGGGCCGGCAUCUGCGACGGGGGUGGCGCCACACCUGCUCCAGGCCAUGGCCUAGGUCCGAUCUGAUUCAAUCUUGAGCUUGUGCAAUAGCUGCCUGCUUGGCUGCGGCGGCAAAGUGAGCGGCGGGGAGGGACGGGAAGUGCGGCGACGGGAGCAGAGGGCGGUCGCUGGAUUCACUCGAUGCCUUCGCUCCCCGUGGACCACGGUCGGCUGUCGGAAGUGAGAGCAAAAGGGGAAGAAAGGGGAGGAAGGGGAAUACGUAUGGGAGGAGGGGACGGAAUACGGGAGCUCCGCGAAUUGUUUCCUCAGAAAAAAUAGACGACGGGGAAUAAAAAAGGCCCAGCCGUUCGAUGCGAGUUUAACGUUUCGGGAGCACCGAUGGGAGCACGGGACGGGAGACGCCGGAGCGCUUGCACAGCCGGGGCGGCUCCUCGUCAUAAACAAGGGCCGCCGCCUACCUUCCCCUCCUCCUCACAGCCAUCUUCGCUUGGUCACGCCGAAGAAGGAGCUAGCGCCGCCACCCGUCGUCGUCAAGCAAGAGCAUGUCGACAUGGCCGCCGACCUCGAAAUCAGCCUCAAAUGGGCGCGGGACGACUACGUCCGGGAGGAGAUGGAGCGCCAGCACCGCGCCCUCGAGGAGAUCGCUGCUAGGCACCGCAGCUACGAGGAGGGCGGUGUCAUCGUCCUCGAGGACAACGACGAGGAGGCGUCGGCGCCGACCAACCCUGUCGACCACGGCGACCCAGGACAGGGCUGCAGCAAGGACGGCGGCGGCGGCGGCGUGCAAGGACGACGACGAUGACGGCGGUGGCGGCGACAGCGACGGCGGCAAGUACACGGCCUUCUACAAGCUCAUCGGCAUGCAGUAGGCUCGGGGCGGUGAUGGCGGCGUACUUUCUCUAAAUUUUUUAGUUAUGUGUAUGUAUUAUUUUGUACAAAUAUCAAUGUAAACCACCUGAACUUUGUCCAAACUCGUUAAUUUUCUUCCAAAUCUAGUCGAAUUUGUAUUUGAAAAAAACGACUUCUUGGGCGAUCUUAGGGCGGCGACUGGGAAACCGAGGGGGUGGGGGCGACUAGAGAUGCUCUAACCCACGCAUGCACUGCUAGCUAACUACAUGCACGUAUGACCCGGUCACCACAACUGGCCACUAACUCACGGCCGCCUAAUCAGCUAACAACUAAUGCAUGCGCCAACCCAUGAGGUACUACAUUCUAUCCAUGCUAGCAAAGAGCAGAGUUUAGUGCUUAAGUAUGAAAAGGCUUGUGAUUUUGUAAACCUGGAUUUCCUCAUUGAACUCCUCUCCUUGAGGAGUUUUGGGGAUAAAUGGAUCUCCUGGAUUCUAGCAAUUACUAAAAAGGAGGGUCUGUGGGAGUCAAGAUCAAUGGUUUCAAAAGUGAUUUCUUUACUACUAGUAAGGGAAUUAAGCAGGGGGACCCUAUCUCCCCCUGCUCUUUAACCUUGUAGUAGAUGUCCUUUCUAGCUAGGAUGCUUAUGAAAGCAGCCGCUGAGGGCCUAAUUAAAGGCCUUUGCUCUGCCAUUUGCCAAGGAGGGGUCAUCUGCUUUCAGUAUGUUGAUGACACUAUUCUCUUUCGAGAGAAUAACUUGGAUAGAGUGAGGAACCUUAAGAUGGUUCUCACCUGUUUUCAGCAGGUCUCUGGGAUGAAAAUCAGUUACACUAAAAGUGAGUUGAUCCCCGUUAACAUGGAAGACCUUGCCCUUUGUAGAAUCUCUAGAGUGUAAACAAGGAUGUUUCCCCAACAAAUACCUUGGAAUACCUCUGCACUAUGACAAAUUAAGAAGAGAGGUCAUCCUACCUUUAAUAGAUAAAAUCCUUAAAAGGAUAACAGGAUGGAGAGGGGAACUACUCUCUUAUAAAGGCAUACCAGUUUAUCUUUUAUCCUUCUUUAAAUUCCCCAAAUGGACCAUUGAGCUAAUUAACACACCCAAAUAGCAAACUGUUUGUGGAAUGACUUUGACGGGAAUAGGAAAAUCCAUCUAGCUAACUGGAGACUUGUCUGUCUGGAAAAAGAGUUUGGUGGCUUAGGUAUUCCUAACCUUCAAGAACUCAAUAUUUUUCUUUUGGGCCCUUGGAUCAAGAGCUAUCAUGAGGGUGAGGACAAGCUCUGGAAAAACAUGAUUGACCAUAAAUAUAACAAUAGUAACCCAAAUAUUUUCAACUGCUCAGCUACCCCCUCAUCAUCCAGGUUUUGGAAGGGAGUGAUGGGUGUAGCCAAAACAGUCAAGUUUGGUUUUACAUGGAAGGUGGGUAACGGGGCUAAGGUGAGAUUCUUGGAAGACACAUGGUUUGGACAUCUCACCUAGCAAUCCAAUAUUGGCCCCUGUACAUUGUCUGUAACCAGACUUCGAAAAGCAUUAGUGACAUCUGGGACAAUGGCCAGAUCAAACUAACGUUUAGAAGGAAUUUCUUUGACAAUAUGAUGGAGGAUUAGCUCCAACUUGUGGUAAUUGUCCAUAGUGUACUGCUUACUGAUGAACCUGAUGCUUUAGUUUGGCAGUAUGAAAGCAAUGGGAAAUUUUCCAGCAGUUCUCUCUAUCAUAUAAUUAAUUUUAGAGGGGUCAAACCUGUUUACAUUCCUGCUGUUUGGAAAUUACAUGUUCCCCCAAGAUUCAUGUAUUUCUUUGGCUGAUCCAAGUUAUGACCAGAGACAACCUUAGGAAAAGGCAGAUCAUCAAGCCAUUAGACUGUGUAUUUUGUUCUGAAACUGAAACUGUUCACCAUCUUUUCUUUGAUUGUGUGGUAUCUAAAUUUGUGUGGAUAGUCAUUAGAGAACAUUUCAAAGUAAAUGUACGUACUGAUUAUUUGUCUGUCUCCAAAUUUUGGCUCUCAAAGAAAAAAAGAUCUUCUCUUAAUGUUGCAUGUGCACUUACCAUGUGGUGCAUAUGGAAGAUUAGGAAUUCCAUUAUCUUUAACAAUACCACGUGGAUUUCUGUCAAACAGGUCCUAGGGAAGAUGCUGAGUUUGACCAAGAUCUGGGCGAUCCUAGCUCCGGAUCAGGAGAGGGAAGUUUUGGGAAACUUCUUGAGCUUCUUAAAGGAAAAAGUGAAGGCGCCGUUGACCAUGAAGAGUGGCUGAGCUGGGACAAGCUACAAAUUGCAAGCGUUGAUUCGGAAUCGGGCUCCCCCACCUCUACUCCCAGCAAGCUUGCUUCUGGCGUCGAGACCACCAUUCCUGCGUCCGUGGAGUCAAUUGCAAAAAUCUACCACAUUUGCGGCUAGGUUUGCGGAAAACCACCAAGUCGCUAAUCCGUUGCAAAAAACAUAUUGAUUUCACUAAACUCUUUGCAAAAAGCACUGAUCGAGUGAUUUGGCUCGUUUGAUCACUUUCUGACAAGUGGGACCAGAUUGUUAGGAGAUGUGUUAGCAAAAAUAUUACAUACACCCCCCUCGGUCUAAAAAUAACAAGCAAUCAGCCCCAACUCCCAAUCCCCUGCCCCCGAUCUGACCGGGAGGAGGCAACCACUGCGUGCCCUCGCAGCAGACCACGCCACCGCCGUCGGCUCCCGCCGCCGCGCCGUAAGCCCACCCGCCACCAUCCCUCCAUGGCGCGGAAGCCUUGAGCAGCCGUGCCCUGCUCUUACCCGAGGACAUCUUGAGCCGUCGUGCGCAGAUCAAAUGAGGGCCUCGUCCACUUGCUCGGAUCCAUCAUCUUUGAGCUCGGUUGCAGCCGGAUCCGCCGAUAUGAGGUGCUGCAGCGCUGGCGUCGGCGCCCUUCACCUGGAAGAAGUUGAGGUAGGGCGCCCUCAACUUCCGCGCUAGCGUCGGCGCCCUCUGGUUCGAGCUCGUCCUCCUUCGUGGAGAAGGGCGACGCCGCGACGGAAACGUCUUGUCGAGCAGGUGGAUUCAGCUCGUCACCUCCUCCCCAUCCACCCCUGCCCUUGACCACAUCUUGUCGAGUAGAACUGCUGCCCCAUCCGCCUCGGUUCCCGCCGCGUGCUCAACGGCGACGGCCCGGCCGCCACCGUCGCUGCAGCACCGGCAGGCCAACGCCUCGGAAAUGCACGCACUGCAGCCGCCUCCUCGUCAUUCGCUAUGGCCGUAGCCGUCUCCGACGCCGACGACGGCGUCACUGUGCGCACGGGACGGCAGGGCCAGUGCACAGCGGUUGUCCACACCGGGGAUCUGAUUGCGUUUUUUGUAAAUAUCUAGGGGUGUGUGUGCUAAUUUUUUGCCAGUUAAGCUCCUUACAAUCCGGCCCCACUUGUCAGAAAGUGAUCAAACGAGCCAAAUCACUCGAUCAGUGUUUUUUGCAAAGAGUUUAGUGAAAUCACGGUGUUUUUUGCAACGGAUUAGCGACUUGAUGGUUUUUCGCAAACCUAGCCGCAAAUGUGGUAGUUUUUUGCAAUUGACUCGCAUCCGUGCUUCAGCAGACAUGGUCCCUGCAGCCCACUGCCGCCCCUCCUUUGAAGGCCAGGAGGGCCCUCUGCGUCUUGGACUUGCUCUACACCUGAACGAGGAGCUGUUUCCCCUAAAUAGCUUUACCUAGGUGUAGCAUUGCUCAUAGCAAAGAGCUGUAACGCAUCAUGAAAAUUGCCUUCUGCUUAGCCUCUGGCCCUGGCUUGUAAAACUAAUCUGGUAAUUUUCUAGCGGUACUUUGCAGGAGGUAGCAAUUAGGGAGUGGUUGUUUUUGCGACUUUGGCAACAACCUGAACAUGGUGGUUUUGUUAUAUAUAAUAGUAUAAUGGAGCCGGGGACUUGGUCCCUUUCCCUCUAAAAAAACUUACAUGUGUGACAGUACGAGUUUAAAUGCUAAAAACCGGAUCUUCACAAUGCAUGAGAAAUUUACGCGGGAAGAAUUAAUGCGCAUGAUUGUUACUCUUUGGGCAAUUUGGGGAUCAAGACGUAAAGCCAUUCUUGAGGAUAUAUGUGACAGCCUUAUGCAGAUCUAUCUUUUCAUCAAUGCUUAUAUACAGAUACUAUCAACACGGCCGCCCAGGUCAACUCUUUGGCAACCUCUGCCACAGGAGCACGUGAAGUUUAAUGUUGAUGCCGCUGUUUCAAGUGGAAAUUUUGGUGCGGUUGGAGUAAUAUGCAGGGACGUGGCUGGCACUUUCCUAGGUGCCUCUUCUUUUACCUUCCAACACAUAUUUGAUCCUGUUGCAUUGGAAGCAUUGGCGGUAAGAGAGGUACUGGCGCUCGCGGAGGAUUUAUAUGUACAUAAGAUACAAGUGGCGUCUGAUUGCAAGAUCGCGGUGGAUAAAACAAUGCAAGGUACGGCGGCGAAUCAUGCAACAAUCGUACAUGAAAGCAUAGAAAGAUCAAAUGCUUUUACUGCUUGUAAUUUUGUUCAGCAGUUUAGGAGCUCGAAUUCCAAGGCUCACAGUCUCGUUAGGCAUGCACUUUCGCUCGGGUUAGGCCGUGUGUCUGGUUAGACCUCCCUGGAGAUUUGAACUUUAUCCCCAUAAAUGUUGCGACAAUUUAAAUAAAGCUUGACAAGAAUGUCUCUAAAGAAAAAAUUCGUAACUUUACAUAAAUAAUUUAUGUAGGUGUACCAAAUAGGGCUGGAAAAAAAGCUUGAAGCUCGCUAGCUAAACGAGUAGCUCGUGACUCGGCUCGAAUCGACUCGAACUCGAAGAAUAACGAGUCGAGUCGAGCUUUAGUUUAAGAUCGUUUAUAGACCAAGUUAAACGAGUCAAUCUCACAAGUACUAGUGUAACUCGUUAGGCUCGAUAUAAAAGAUCAGCCAUUUCAAAUCCUAAAAAAAAAAGAUAAGCCAGUCAGCACCCUGCGUCCCAGGCGCACAACACAAGGCCCAGCAGCCUAGGAGAGUCAUGCAUUACAAGGAAAUUACAAUUGUUUAAUGAUAUAUAUGUUUAAUAUAUACAUAAUUAUUUUUAUCAUAUUUGAGGGUUUUAUGUUCAUAUCUUUAACGAGCUUAACAAGCUAAACGAGCCAACACACGAGUUAUGCGAGUCGAGCCAAUCUUGGGUUUAAGCUCGUUAUAGUAACAAGUCGAGUUGAGCUAGCUCGUUAACGAAACGAGCUCUAGCGAGUUGAGCCGAGCUGGCUCGGCUUGGCUCGAAUUUCAGCCCCAGUAGCAAAGCUUCCUAGAAUCCUGGUCUUAAAGAAGAGGGAAAUGAUGAUAUGGCUAUUCCCUGAUAGAUGAAUGCCUACGGGUUUACGGGAAACGGGGCCAUGCCAUCCGGAACGAUAGACCCGGAUGAGAUAAGGAUGUACGUGGAUGCGUCGUCCCACUCGAGACGCGCGUAUGUAUUAGGCUACCGGCGCGUGGCUCGGCCGGUCGGCGGGCAGGAAACGUUUACGAAAAAUCUAUUCUCUUCCUUCAGAGAGUAGGACGUACGUUCGUGUCACCACUUGGAGGUUUCUGAAUAAGUAUGGACUAAAAGGGAUGUCUUGCUCUUGCUGCAAUCUCCAGCCUUGUAGCUAUAAAGCCAGCUGAGCUGCUGCGUAGAAGAAACAGUCAGUGAAGCAUCCUCUCGUGUAGGAAGCGCUGCGCGGUCGUGAUGGUUCAUCCGUUGCAUGCCCUCCAUGAGCUGCUACUGCAAGCGAGGUCUCCACAUGCAGCCCUGGGACUGGUCUUUGUCCUGCUCGUCUGCCCUCUCCUCGCCCUCCUGGUCGUGCGCCGCCUCGCGACGCCGUCGACGGCCGCGGCCACCGCGAGAGCCAGAGAAGAGCUGCUGGGCAGGCUGCCCUCUCCUCCCAGUAGGCUCCCCAUCAUCGGCCACAUGCACCUCGUCGGCUCCCUCCCGCACAUCUCCCUCCGCGACCUCGCCGCCAAGCACGGCCGCGACGGCCUCAUGCUCCUCCGCCUGGGCGCCGUCCCGACGCUCGUCGUCUCGUCGCCCAGCGCCGCGGAGGCCGUGCUGCGCACGCACGACCACGUCUUCGCGUCCCGGCCCUACUCCGCCGUCACCGAAAUCCUCUUCUACGGCCCCACGGACGCCGCCUUCUCCCCCUACGGCGAGCACUGGCGACAGGUCAAGAAGAUCGCCACCACGCACCUUCUCACCAACAGGAAGGUCCGCUCCUACCGCUAUGCCCGCGAACACGAGGUGGGUAACCAUGCAUCAAUUUCUUCUGCAUGUUUGCUAUCUUUUCAGUUGCUUGAAUUAUUUAGCAGCUAGAUGUAACAUUAUUCAUUAUUUAGCUACUUCCUCCGUUCACAAUCAUAAAAGGUUCUAACUUUUUCUGAAUUGAAUGUAUGUAGACAUGAUUUACUGUGUAUGAUCACUAAUUUCAAUCUGUAUGUAGUCUAUAUUAAAAUAUCCAAACAUCUUAUAUAUUUACAUCAGUUAAUUUAGUCUAAUUCAAAGAUAAUAUUGUUUUAAUCACUAUACAUUUUUCAAAUCACUAAAAAUAUAUAUUUCAAAAUUGAAUUUUACUCACUUUAAAAAACUAUUUUCACUCAGUUCAUGAAAUGGAUUUCAAUUUUUCAAAAAACGGUUUCAAUUACUAUUUCAAAUGACCGACUUCAAAAUUUUCAAUUUUUUUAGUUAUUUCAUAAAACAUAUUUAAAUUAUUUCAAACAAUUGAUUUCAAUUAUUAUUCAAAAGGCAUGUUUCACUGAUUUUGAAUCUCCAUUUCAAUAUUUCAAAAAGUGAUCUUAGUUAUUUCAUAAAAUCUAUUUGAAGUAUUCCAAACGAUUGAUUUCACUUAUUAUUCGAAAUGGCCAGUUUCAGUUACUUUAGAACUCCAUUUCAAUAUUUCAAAAGAGUGAUUUCAAUUUCUUCAAAAUACUUACUUAAAUAGUUACAAAAUGCCGAUGAUUUGAAAAUGCCCAUGUAAAUUGUUUCAAAUGAUCAGUUUCAAUUAUUUCAGAUGAUCAAUUUCAAUGAAAUUGAUAUUAAUUCCAAAAAAAUAUUUCUGCUAUUUCAAUUUCAUAUUUGGAAAAAAUAGGAAAAGUGAUUAUUUCAACUUGCUUGUUUCAUAAAAAAAUACAUCUAUUUCAAUUCCAUAUUUUUUCAAUAAUCAAUUUCACUCUUUUUAAAAUAAUCAAUUCCACAUUUUUCAAAUAAUCAGUUUCACAAAGAUGCAUUACAAUUUCAAUGACAGAAAUACAAAAAUCUUUCCAUCAACUAUUACUGAAGUGAAAUCUGAAUAAACACAAUAUAGGCAUUUCAGUUACAUAAAUCCACCAUUAUAUUACUUUCUGUGACACUAUUUCAUAAAUUAGUUUCACAUGUUGUAGAAAACUGAUUUAAUAUAUUUCCCAACAGUUACGUUCAUAUAUCACACAUAUUUUCAGAACAGUUCAACUAUUUCAAUUACAUUGCAGAACUAAUUUUCCAUUAAACAAUAAUCGACAAAUCCUAAUCAUACAAAUCAAAUAACAAAUACUACCUCUGUAAACUAAUAUAAAACAUGUUAGAUCACUAAUUCGGUUCAUCGUCCACUAAGUGGCAAAAUCAUAUACUAAGCUCCAGAUUAACACAAAACACGGUUACCCGGGAGGACAAAUCACAGGAAAAGGUGGGUUCCCCAGUGCCCUUCGGCAUCCAUGGCGGUGCCCAUGCUUCAGAUCUGGCUGGUGGGGAGAGGAGAGCUAAAAGGAUGGCGAUGGUCGAGGAGAUGUGGCCGACGGAGACUGGAGCAGAUGUGGUGGACAAUGACCAAAUCCGGCUAGCCAAGGCGAGGAUCCAACAGAUCUGGAACCAGGACCCCCGAAUGAGCUUUGUGUUGUGCCGCUGGUCGCUGCUGGCCUCCACGGGUGUCUAGGUGUCACCGCACAUCCGCUCGUCUCUGGUCAUUAUGGGUCCUUGCGCUCGCGUCAUAGCUACCGCGUCGGUAGAGCCGGAUUUAGCAUCGGCCGGCAAGCCGCUGCCAACCGCUGGUUUUGGAUCGAGAGGUGAAGCGCUGGUGGAUCAAGUGAAUAUUGUGUAGAGAGAGGUAGUGGGUACUGUAUUUAGGAUAAGUAUUGGUUUUUCUUUUUUUUUCGGGAAGGGAUGGUAUAGGUUUUGUUUAGCUAAAAACGAGGAAUAAUAGCUGGCAAAUACACAAAUUUUGAAAUAGUUGCAAACAACGGAUUUUUGACCACUACGCGCCGGCGCUGCUAGAAAGAGGUUUGCGCACAUGGAUAUGAUCACUCGUGUGUGUGAAAGAGAGGGGAUUUUUGUUUAUUGUUCAUCUCGAACAUUAUUGUUGCGUUUAAUUCUUAUUGAUGCUACAAACUUAAUGUUAAUAGUAAUAACUCCUGCAAAGUAUGGACAAGUGUAAUUUCGAAAUUUCUAUGCAAUUUAAUAACACAAAAUUUAUGGUUCUUUUUCACAUCACAAACACCUGUCUUUUGUAACUCUACUCAUAUUAUACUUUUUCAUAUACAACCAUUUUACCAUUUUUUGGCUAAUCUUUACAAUUUUUUGUAUAUUAGGUUCGCUAUCCAUCUGUCAUCUUAUUUCUUAACAAAAAUGUAUACUUUGGGAGUAAAGCUACCUCCUAAUUCUUUUUCUUGCAUAACUGAAUUAUGGCCCCCUACCAAAAAAAGAUAAUCCAUCUAUUUUCAGUAUUUCCUUCUAGGGUUUUGUUUAUGUAUUCAUGUUUUUUACUAGUUAUUUAAAAAAUGGGAACUCAUGGGAAUAUGUUCCUAAUUAUUAAUUGGCCGUUGGUUUACAUGAUCAACUACAUCAAAACGGUGUCUAAGCGAUGUAAUAAAACAUGGAAUCUUUGAUCUUUUCCUUCAAGGUUGAUAUUAUUCUUUUAUGCAUAUAGUAUAUUUCUCCACUUUACAUAUUCAUUUCAAAAUGAUGGUUUGCGAAGUCUUAGGCAACUCAUGUUCUCUAUCUCAGUUGGUUUCUUCUCCAAUUAGAAUAUUUUGAGUUUUUUUUUGCAUAUUCUGAUGAUGGGUUCCAACCUGUGACACUGAUUAAUGAAGUAUUUGAGAGCUUUGAAGCAUCUUUUACAUGAGAGGAAGUAAGAGUCUCGGUCUAAGUGAUGUGACGAAUGAGUCAUCUUAUUUAUACAAAGUAUUGCAGUCUUAUUAUUGUUGUUUCGUGUUAUACCAAAGUUAUACUACUCGAUGUACUAAAUCUACCACAAUAAGCUUUUUUGUUGGUUUUCCUUUCAGGUAAUUGUGUUGAUUUUUCAUAUCAUAGUUAUAGUGCCUAUUAUUUUUCAUUGAGCAUGCUAGCCUUUUGAGCCUGAAAGAGUGGAAGUAGGCUCGCCAAUUGGGCAAAUCAUUAUUCAUAGUCUUGUUAUGGCCAAGGGACACCAUAUUUAGAAAAUUGAUAGUUCUUAAAAAGCAAAUUAAUCCAAAGGCUAGUAAAAAAGUGAUUGAAAUCUCCAAAAAAAGGCAACUUAAAUAUAGACGACUUACUUGAUUUCUAGAUAUAUUGCAGCAUUGAUAGAUGCAUGUUGUCCACAUCAUGGAUUGUGCCAAAAUUAAUCCUUUUCAAUUCACAGGUGAGAUCGGUUGUGGCUAAGAUCCGCGAUGCGGCCUCCAAAUGCACCGUCAUCGACCUGACUGACCUUCUCAAUGCCUUCACCAAUGACAUUGUGUGCGAAGCUGUGUCCGGUAGGCUUUUCAGGGAACAAAGCCAUAAAAAACUCUUCCGAGAGCUCGUCGAGGCCAACUCAUUGCUCCUGGGCGGAUUCAACCUAGAGGACUACUUCCCCAUGUUGGUGAAGAUGGACAUCAUCAAGAGGAUUGUUUGCGCCAAGGCCCAGAAGGUGAAGAAGAUGUGGGACAACCUGCUCAAUAAUAUCAUCGAUGAGCAUGCAAGCAAGUCGGUGCCAGAACACAACAGUGAGGAUAGUGACUUCACCGAUGUGUUGCUUUCUAUCCAAGAAGAGUACAAACUCACGAGAGACCAUAUUAAGGCUCAGUUAGAGGUAAGUACGUCCUCACAAACAAAAACAAAACAAUCAUACAUCCACACAUAUAGCUUAUAUGUUGUUGAUUUGAUUCUUACAUAUGGAUCCGUAUGUAUGUAGAUCAUAUUCGAAGCUGGCACAGAUACAUCAUUCAUAGUGUUGGAAUAUGCGAUGGUCCAGCUCAUGCGAAAACCCCAUCUCAUGAACAAGCUACAAGCUGAGGUGAGGAGCACUAUAACCAAGGGGAAAGAAAUAGUUACCGAAGACGAUCUGGAUAGUUUGGCCUACCUAAAGGCAGUCAUUAAAGAGACACUCCGGCUCCAUAUGCCUGGGCCACUCCUCAUACCCCACCUCUCCAUGGCCGACUGCAACAUAAAGGGCUACACGAUACCAUCAGGAAUACGUGUCAUCAUCAACAGUUGGGCUCUUGCAAGGGACCCUAGUAGUUGGGAGCAUGCGGAUGAGUUCAUGCCUGAGCGGUUUAUGGAAUGUGGUAGCGCCGCAACUAUGGACUAUAAGGGAAAUGACUUCCAAUACUUGCCCUUUGGGGCCGGGCGAAGGAUUUGCCCAGGCAUGAACUAUGCGACUGCGAGCAUUGAAAUCAUGCUAGCGAAUCUCAUGUACCACUUCAACUGGAAGCUACCAGUAGAGUUG
This 26348-nucleotide long non-coding RNA is filed under the name Triticum aestivum (bread wheat). RNAcentral's name for it is "long non-coding RNA (TAES_LNC019998)". The record is from RNAcentral. Lineage: Eukaryota; Viridiplantae; Streptophyta; Magnoliopsida; Poales; Poaceae.